RNAcentral lists this ribosomal RNA (478 nucleotides) under uncultured bacterium. RNAcentral's name for it is "partial 16S ribosomal RNA". It matches the Rfam family "Bacterial small subunit ribosomal RNA", at positions 28 to 523 of the family's 1533-position model. The record is from RNAcentral.
GACGAACGCUGGCGGCGUGCUUAACACAUGCAAGUCGAACGGUAAGGCCCUUCGGGGUACACGAGUGGCGAACGGGUGAGUAACACGUGGGUGAUCUGCCCUGCACUUCGGGAUAAGCCUGGGAAACUGGGUCUAAUACCGGAUAGGACCACUGCCUGCAUGGGUGGUGGUGGAAAGCUUUGGUGGUGUGGGAUGGGCACGCGGCCUCUCAGGUUGUUGGUGGGGUGAAGACCUACCAAGGCGACGACGGGUAGGCGGCCUGAGAGGGUGACCGGCCACACUGGGACUGAGAUACGGCCCAGACUCCUACGGGAGGCAGCAGUGGGGAAUAUUGCACAAUGGGCGCAAGCCUGAUGCAGCGACGCCGCGUGAGGGAUGACGGCCUUCGGGUUGUAAACCUCUUUCAGCACCGACGAAGCGCAAGUGACGGUAGGUGCAGAAGAAGGACCGGCCAACUACGUGCCAGCCGCCGCCGUAA